GACAGAGGUGCCGAGCGUUAGGCGGAAUCACUGGGCUUAAAGCGUGUGUAGGCGGGCGGGCAAGUACCUUGUGAAAUCCCACGGCUCAACCGUGGAACGGCUGGGUAUACUGCCUGUCUUGAGCCAACUAGGGGCGAGCGGAACAGACGGUGGAGCGGUGAAAUGCGUAGAUAUCGGGAGGAACACCAGUGGCGAAGGCGAUCAUCUGGGGUUGUUCUGACACUGAGGAGCGAAAGCUAGGGGAGCAAACGGG
Molecule: ribosomal RNA, 253 nt
Filed under: uncultured bacterium
Lineage: Bacteria
Description: partial 16S ribosomal RNA
Rfam family: Bacterial small subunit ribosomal RNA
Source: RNAcentral